Ailuropoda melanoleuca (giant panda) is the source of this 829-nucleotide long non-coding RNA. RefSeq lists it as uncharacterized. The transcript has 3 exons. Lineage: Eukaryota; Metazoa; Chordata; Mammalia; Carnivora; Ursidae. The record is from RefSeq and is a predicted model, not a curated record.
GCUUCUCAGGGUGCGGCCCGCACGGCGGUCCGCGGCUUUGCUGUGCUAACCCAGCCCUCGCGCAGCCCGCAGAUGGGAAGGCCGAGGUACGGGGACCCUGCGAACCCGGCCUCACUCACUCGGCGGCGGGUGGCAGGCCGGGAAGCUCAACAGGCCGAGCCCGGCCCCACAGAAGCCAUCACCGAUGGCCUGAUCCUUUCUUCGGUCUCCUGCUCUCACGGACACGUUUUGGCGGAGGCCUCGCAGCAGGGUGACAGCUGCCAUGUUGUGAGGAAGCCCCAGCUACACGGAGAGGCCUCCCAGCCCAGGCCCUGGAUGUGUGGAUUAAAGGCCUCCAGAUGAUUCCACCCCCGGGCACUGAAGUCACCCUCCGCUGCGUGAGUCUUCCCAGCUGACACCCCAGACUUUGCGGAACAGGGGAAAAGCCAACACCGUUGUGUCCUAAAUCUGGCCCACAAAAUCCAUGAGCAAAAUUUAAGUUUGAAGGUCAUGUGAGGGUGGCCACCCCAUCCCUGGCAGCCUCCGUCCAGAUGGAAAGGCAGCCCUACCAGAACAGAGAGCAUUCUCCUCGUGAUGCCUGAAGUCGGUUCAGCUGGAUGAGGCACGUGUAUCCCUAGACACCUUGCCAGGCACGUCAGAUCAAAAUACAGAGAAUGAAGGCUGCUUGUCUGACCGAAUGUCUCAGGAGCCUGGUCCCACGGGCUGCCCUUUGGUCCCAGAAGCUACUUGUCCAGAGGAGGCCCCACAUCUCAAAGGGAUGUCCCAUGAAGCAGCGUCCACGAAGACCAAACUGGGUCCCUCGUGUCCCCGCUGAACCCCCUAAGGACCC